RNAcentral lists this ribosomal RNA (496 nucleotides) under uncultured bacterium. RNAcentral describes it as "partial 16S ribosomal RNA". It matches the Rfam family "Bacterial small subunit ribosomal RNA", at positions 29 to 507 of the family's 1533-position model. The record is from RNAcentral.
AUGAACGCUGGCGGCGUGCCUAAUACAUGCAAGUCGAGCGAACAGACGAGGAGCUUGCUCCUCUGACGUUAGCGGCGGACGGGUGAGUAACACGUGGAUAACCUACCUAUAAGACUGGGAUAACUUCGGGAAACCGGAGCUAAUACCGGAUAAUAUAUUGAACCGCAUGGUUCAAUAGUGAAAGACGGUUUUGCUGUCACUUAUAGAUGGAUCCGCGCCGCAUUAGCUAGUUGGUAAGGUAACGGCUUACCAAGGCAACGAUGCGUAGCCGACCUGAGAGGGUGAUCGGCCACACUGGAACUGAGACACGGUCCAGACUCCUACGGGAGGCAGCAGUAGGGAAUCUUCCGCAAUGGGCGAAAGCCUGACGGAGCAACGCAGCGUGAGUGAUGAAGGUCUUCGGAUCGUAAAACUCUGUUAUUAGGGAAGAACAAAUGUGUAAGUAACUAUGCACGUCUUGACGGUACCUAAUCAGAAAGCCACGGCUAACUACGUG